GGCCAUUUGUAUGUCGUAUUUUGGGAAAUGUCUGUUCAAGUCCUUUGAUCAUUUUAAAACUCUGGUUAUUUGUUUUCUUCCUACUGAGUUGUUUGAGUUUCUUAUCUACACUUUAGAUCAUAACAACCCCUUCUCAGAUACAUGGUUUGCAAAUGUAUUCUCUCACUCUGUGGAGUCUCACUCUGUAGCCCAAGCUGGAGUGGCGUGAUCUCGACUCACUGCAACCUCCGCCUCCUGGGAUCAAGUGAUUCUCGUGCCUCAGCCUCCUGAGUAGCCGGGACUACAGGUCACAGAAUUUUCCACACUCCUUGACAGAGGUGCUUAACCCUUAUCCAUCAGCAUUCUCAGACAGCACCUCCGGUUAGGGACAGUAUCUGACCGUCCGACAUCCCUGCAGCCCCCAUGUGUCACACAGACUCAGCCUCAGGUAGAUGGUUUCCGUAGAUGGUGGCUUUCUUUGGACCCUUGACAUCAACCAGUUACUAUUUGGUCUAGGGGUCUCACCAACGCUGCUCAUCUAGCAGGGCCACACAUAACAAAUAGAAGCAGAGCAAGCCCUGGAACUCCUGCCUGACAGUGACACGACGACAGAAACAUCUUACCAGUCAGAGGACCAUGAGAAAUAGAUUCAAGGAGCAUUCCACGUGCAAGUGAGUCUUGGCCCCAUCUGCCUUUGGAUUUUAGCCGUGAACUGGAAGGUAUUGGAAAGAAGACCCUCAGAAAUAGCUUAAUCAAAAUCCCUGCGUCUGAACCAAGUGCCUUAUUUCUCUGUGGGCCUCAAGCUUCGCUGACAUCUGUGGAGCACACUGUCCUAACAGGAGUGCUGUCUGAUUUCCCAACGCUCUGCAAAACAAACAGCCUGGAAGGGUGGCUGGUGGAAGGUGGUUUUUAGAGAGAGACUUGUAGAUAACAGGAAAGUGAAGGCUGUAAGGAAGGUUGUAAUUAAACAGCACAUGGAAACACAAUCACAUUAUUGUCCCAUUCCAUAGGGAUAAUGAUGACCACUUCAGUGGGAAAAGGAGAGGUUUUAAGUCAUUAGGGACUAUGGGCCACCUUUUAGGAAGAUUUAUUUUCAAAGGUUAAAAUAGUGUUUUGGCAAUUCAAGUUUCAUUUUCAGAAAAUGUAAUUGAUGGGAACCUCAGUGACUCUGGAUGAAUAAGAUGCUGUUGAGUGGCUCUGACUUGGGCCAGCCGUGCUUCUCACAGGACCUUGGAGACCAAGGUCACUGUGAUCUCAGGUUCAGGGGGCAAGUCCUCUCCACACAGCCCUAGUUGGCCUCACAGCUGAAAAUGUCUCCCUUACUGUUGGACUCCUUUGUUCACCCACAUGAGUUUGUGAAUAAAUCCUUUCCAGUCUGAAA
RNAcentral lists this long non-coding RNA (1360 nucleotides) under Homo sapiens (human). RNAcentral describes it as "PCBP1 antisense RNA 1". The record is from RNAcentral. Lineage: Eukaryota; Metazoa; Chordata; Mammalia; Primates; Hominidae.